UGGGGAAUUUUGGACAAUGGGCGAAAGCCUGAUCCAGCAAUGCCGCGUGUGUGAAGAAGGCCUUCGGGUUGUAAAGCACUUUUGUCCGGAAAGAAAUCCUUGGCUCUAAUACAGUCGGGGGAUGACGGUACCGGAAGAAUAAGCACCGGCUAACUACGUGCCAGCAGCCGCGGUAAUACGUAGGGUGCAAGCGUUAACGGAAUUACUGGGCGUAAAGCGUGCGCAGGCGGUUUGCUAAGACCGAUGUGAAAUCCCCGGGGUCUCAACCUGGGAACUGCAUUGGUGACUGGCAGGCUAGAGUAUGGCAGAGGGGGGUAGAAUUCCACGUGUAGCAGUGAAAGUGCGUAGAGAUGUGGAGGAAUACCGAUGGCGAAGGCAGCCCCCUGGGCCAAUACUGACGCUCAUGCACGAAAGCGU
RNAcentral lists this ribosomal RNA (417 nucleotides) under uncultured bacterium. RNAcentral's name for it is "partial 16S ribosomal RNA". It matches the Rfam family "Bacterial small subunit ribosomal RNA", at positions 355 to 762 of the family's 1533-position model. The record is from RNAcentral.